RNAcentral lists this ribosomal RNA (509 nucleotides) under Picoa juniperi. RNAcentral describes it as "eukaryotic LSU rRNA". It matches the Rfam family "Eukaryotic large subunit ribosomal RNA", at positions 88 to 599 of the family's 3401-position model. The record is from RNAcentral. Lineage: Eukaryota; Fungi; Ascomycota; Pezizomycetes; Pezizales; Pyronemataceae.
UGCGAGUGAAGCGGCAAAAGCUCAAAUUUGAAAUCGGUGUGUCUAAAGUACAUCGAGUUGUAAUUUGGAGGGACAACUUCGGGCUGAACCACACCGUAAGUUUCUUGGAACAGGACAUCAUAGAGGGUGAGAAUCCCGUGUCUUGGUGUAGGGUCAAACCAUGUGAAGUGUCUCCGACGAGUCGAGUUGUUUGGGAAUGCAGCUCAAAAUGGGUGGUAAAUUUCAUCUAAAGCUAAAUAUUGGCGAGAGACCGAUAGCGCACAAGUAGAGUGAUCGAAAGAUGAAAAGCACUUUGAAAAGAGAGUUAAAAAGUACGUGAAAUUGUUGAAAGGGAAGCGCUUACGACCAGACUCGAUCUUUGGUGAUCAGCCGGACUUCGGUUCGGUGCCCUCGCCAUUGAUUGGGCCAGCAUCGGUUCCGACGGUGGGAUAAAAGGAGGAGGAAUGUAGCUCCCCUCGGGGAGUGUUAUAGCCCCCUUCACAAUGUCACCAUUUGGGACCGAGGACCGC